Molecule: ribosomal RNA, 1058 nt
Filed under: uncultured Cryobacterium sp.
Lineage: Bacteria; Bacillati; Actinomycetota; Actinomycetes; Micrococcales; Microbacteriaceae
Description: bacterial SSU rRNA
Rfam family: Bacterial small subunit ribosomal RNA
Source: RNAcentral
UCCUACGGGAGGCAGCAGUGGGGAAUAUUGCACAAUGGGCGCAAGCCUGAUGCAGCAACGCCGCGUGAGGGACGAAGGCCUUCGGGUUGUAAACCUCUUUUAGUAGGGAAGAAGCGACUGGGUUUUCCUGGGAGUGACGGUACCUGCAGAAAAAGCACCGGCUAACUACGUGCCAGCAGCCGCGGUAAUACGUAGGGUGCAAGCGUUGUCCGGAAUUAUUGGGCGUAAAGAGCUCGUAGGCGGUUUGUCGCGUCUGCUGUGAAAACCCGAGGCUCAACCUCGGGCCUGCAGUGGGUACGGGCAGACUAGAGUGCGGUAGGGGAGAUCGGAAUUCCUGGUGUAGCGGUGGAAUGCGCAGAUAUCAGGAGGAACACCAAUGGCGAAGGCAGAUCUCUGGGCCGUAACUGACGCUGAGGAGCGAAAGCAUGGGGAGCGAACAGGAUUAGAUACCCUGGUAGUCCAUGCCGUAAACGUUGGGAACUAGAUGUGGGGACCAUUCCACGGUCUCCGUGUCGCAGCUAACGCAUUAAGUUCCCCGCCUGGGGAGUACGGCCGCAAGGCUAAAACUCAAAGGAAUUGACGGGGGCCCGCACAAGCGGCGGAGCAUGCGGAUUAAUUCGAUGCAACGCGAAGAACCUUACCAAGGCUUGACAUAUACCGGAAACGGCUGGAAACAGUCGCCCCGCAAGGUCGGUAUACAGGUGGUGCAUGGUUGUCGUCAGCUCGUGUCGUGAGAUGUUGGGUUAAGUCCCGCAACGAGCGCAACCCUCGUCCUAUGUUGCCAGCACGUAAUGGUGGGAACUCAUGGGAUACUGCCGGGGUCAACUCGGAGGAAGGUGGGGAUGACGUCAAAUCAUCAUGCCCCUUAUGUCUUGGGCUUCACGCAUGCUACAAUGGCCGGUACAAAGGGCUGCGAUACCGCAAGGUGGAGCGAAUCCCAAAAAGCCGGUCUCAGUUCGGAUUGAGGUCUGCAACUCGACCUCAUGAAGUCGGAGUCGCUAGUAAUCGCAGAUCAGCAACGCUGCGGUGAAUACGUUCCCGGGCCUUGUACACACCGC